UACGUAGGGUGCAAGCGUUAAUCGGAAUUACUGGGCGUAAAGCGUGCGCAGGCGGUGAUGUAAGACAGAUGUGAAAUCCCCGGGCUCAACCUGGGAACUGCAUUUGUGACUGCAUCGCUGGAGUACGGCAGAGGGGGAUGGAAUUCCGCGUGUAGCAGUGAAAUGCGUAGAUAUGCGGAGGAACACCGAUGGCGAAGGCAGCCCCCUGGGUCAAUACUGACGCUCAUGCACGAAAGCGUGGGGAGCACACAGG
Molecule: ribosomal RNA, 253 nt
Filed under: uncultured bacterium
Lineage: Bacteria
Description: partial 16S ribosomal RNA
Rfam family: Bacterial small subunit ribosomal RNA
Source: RNAcentral